This 302-nucleotide unclassified non-coding RNA is filed under the name Hevea brasiliensis (rubber tree). The record is from RNAcentral. Lineage: Eukaryota; Viridiplantae; Streptophyta; Magnoliopsida; Malpighiales; Euphorbiaceae.
CAUGCAUCACUUAUAAAUAUAUAUCUAUGUAGUUAAACACUAGACAUAUUUUAUAUUGCAUUCAUAAUUGAUGAAGUGCCAUAGAUGUUGUUUGUGUUAAUUUGGAGCAGUGUGUGUGCGUUGGCGUGCGUGUGGUAUGGUAUUGGAUAUGGACAGGACGGGUAGACACGGCUUGAGAGAUACUCGCUGGGACCCAAUUCUUCGGGGUAGACACCGCUUGAGAGACACUCGCUGGGACCUGAUCUUUCGGGGUAGACAUGGCUUGAGAAAUACUCGCCGGGACCCCGCAUUUGGUUUAUUAA